CCCAGAGUCUGAAUCAGCUUGUGUGUUAGUGGAACGGUCUGGAAAGUCCGACGGUACAGGGUGAUAGUCCCGUACACCAAAAUGCACAGGUUGUGAACUCGAAGAGUAGGGCGGGACACGUGGUAUCCUGUCUGAAUAUGGGGGGACCAUCCUCCAAGGCUAAAUACUCCUGACUGACCGAUAGUGAACCAGUACCGUGAGGGAAAGGCGAAAAGAACCCCGGCGAGGGGAGUGAAAAAGAACCUGAAACCGUGUACGUACAAGCAGUGGGAGCACCUUCGGGUGUGACUGCGUACCUUUUGUAUAAUGGGUCAGCGACUUAUAUUCUGUAGCAAGGUUAACCGUAUAGGGGAGCCGCAGGGAAACCGAGUCUUAACUGGGCGUUAAGUUGCAGGGUAUAGACCCGAAACCCGGUGAUCUAGCCAUGGGCAGGUUGAAGGUUGGGUAACACUAACUGGAGGACCGAACCGACUAAUGUUGAAAAAUUAGCGGAUGACUUGUGGCUGGGGGUGAAAGGCCAAUCAAACCGGGAGAUAGCUGGUUCUCCCCGAAAGCUAUUUAGGUAGCGCCUCGUGAACUCAUCUUCGGGGGUAGAGCACUGUUUCGGCUAGGGGGUCAUCCCGACUUACCAACCCGAUGCAAACUACGAAUACCGAAGAAUGUUAUCACGGGAGACACACGGCGGGUGCUAACGUCCGUCGUGAAGAGGGAAACAACCCAGACCGCCAGCUAAGGUCCCAAAGUCAUGGUUAAGUGGGAAACGAUGUGGGAAGGCACAGACAGCCAGGAUGUUGGCUUAGAAGCAGCCAUCAUUUAAAGAAAGCGUAAUAGCUCACUGGUCGAGUCGGCCUGCGCGGAAGAUGUAACGGGGCUAAACCAUGCACCGAAGCUGCGGCAGCGACACUAUGUGUUGUUGGGUAGGGGAGCGUUCUGUAAGCCUGCGAAGGUGUGCUGUGAGGCAUGCUGGAGGUAUCAGAAGUGCGAAUGCUGACAUAAGUAACGAUAAAGCGGGUGAAAAGCCCGCUCGCCGGAAGACCAAGGGUUCCUGUCCAACGUUAAUCGGGGCAGGGUGAGUCGACCCCUAAGGCGAGGCCGAAAGGCGUAGUCGAUGGGAAACAGGUUAAUAUUCCUGUACUUGGUGUUACUGCGAAGGGGGGACGGAGAAGGCUAUGUUAGCCGGGCGACGGUUGUCCCGGUUUAAGCAUGUAGGCUGGUUAUCCAGGCAAAUCCGGAUAAUCAAGGCUGAGGUGUGAUGACGAGGCACUACGGUGCUGAAGUAACAAAUGCCCUGCUUCCAGGAAAAGCCUCUAAGCAUCAGGUAACAUCAAAUCGUACCCCAAACCGACACAGGUGGUCAGGUAGAGAAUACCAAGGCGCUUGAGAGAACUCGGGUGAAGGAACUAGGCAAAAUGGUGCCGUAACUUCGGGAGAAGGCACGCUGGUGUGUAGGUGAAGUCCCUGCGGAUGGAGCUGAGACCAGUCGAAGAUACCAGCUGGCUGCAACUGUUUAUUAAAAACACAGCACUGUGCAAACACGAAAGUGGACGUAUACGGUGUGACGCCUGCCCGGUGCCGGAAGGUUAAUUGAUGGGGUUAUCCGUAAGGAGAAGCUCUUGAUCGAAGCCCCGGUAAACGGCGGCCGUAACUAUAACGGUCCUAAGGUAGCGAAAUUCCUUGUCGGGUAAGUUCCGACCUGCACGAAUGGCGUAAUGAUGGCCAGGCUGUCUCCACCCGAGACUCAGUGAAAUUGAACUCGCUGUGAAGAUGCAGUGUACCCGCGGCAAGACGGAAAGACCCCGUGAACCUUUACUAUAGCUUGACACUGAACAUUGAGCCUUGAUGUGUAGGAUAGGUGGGAGGCUUUGAAGCGUGGACGCCAGUCUGCGUGGAGCCAACCUUGAAAUACCACCCUUUAAUGUUUGAUGUUCUAACGUUGGCCCCUUACCGGGGUUGCGGACAGUGUCUGGUGGGUAGUUUGACUGGGGCGGUCUCCUCCCAAAGCGUAACGGAGGAGCACGAAGGUUAGCUAAUCCUGGUCGGACAUCAGGAGGUUAGUGCAAUGGCAUAAGCUAGCUUGACUGCGAGCGUGACGGCGCGAGCAGGUGCGAAAGCAGGUCAUAGUGAUCCGGUGGUUCUGAAUGGAAGGGCCAUCGCUCAACGGAUAAAAGGUACUCCGGGGAUAACAGGCUGAUACCGCCCAAGAGUUCAUAUCGACGGCGGUGUUUGGCACCUCGAUGUCGGCUCAUCACAUCCUGGGGCUGAAGUAGGUCCCAAGGGUAUGGCUGUUCGCCAUUUAAAGUGGUACGCGAGCUGGGUUUAGAACGUCGUGAGACAGUUCGGUCCCUAUCUGCCGUGGGCGCUGGAGAAUUGAGGGGGGCUGCUCCUAGUACGAGAGGACCGGAGUGGACGCAUCACUGGUGUUCGGGUUGUCAUGCCAAUGGCACUGCCCGGUAGCUAAAUGCGGAAGAGAUAAGUGCUGAAAGCAUCUAAGCACGAAACUUGCCCCGAGAUGAG
This 2514-nucleotide ribosomal RNA is filed under the name Klebsiella pneumoniae. Its description in RNAcentral is "partial 23S ribosomal RNA". It matches the Rfam family "Bacterial large subunit ribosomal RNA", at positions 296 to 2808 of the family's 2925-position model. The record is from RNAcentral. Lineage: Bacteria; Pseudomonadati; Pseudomonadota; Gammaproteobacteria; Enterobacterales; Enterobacteriaceae.